This 372-nucleotide long non-coding RNA is filed under the name Manacus vitellinus (golden-collared manakin). RNAcentral describes it as "lncRNA (ENSMVIG00005005226.1)". Lineage: Eukaryota; Metazoa; Chordata; Aves; Passeriformes; Pipridae. The record is from RNAcentral.
UGUUUGCAUUGCAAGUGACAUCUGGCUGACAGGAAGCUGGAGAAAUGGGAUAUGAAGUGAAUGCUGCAGUUACCACAGUAUCAUAUUUAUCAAAAGGCUUAAGGAGCCCAUGUCUUCGCCACCUUAGUCAUCUUCCCAGCCUUUGGAUGAAGCAUCUGAAUCCCCAACAUUACUUCUGGAGCCAUUUAAAAAACAGACUUCCUAAAAGCCACUGCUGGAUGAUGGUGACUGAUGCUGAAAGUUGUUCUCAAAUGGGAGAUAAUCAGAUCCGAAGAGUAUUUACAGCCCAGCCCAUGAAAAACCAAUCUGCUCCUAUCAGAAACCACGGAGAAUGUUUCCAAUUGAGACUGACUUUGCAGAAGUCGCCUUGGC